RNAcentral lists this transfer RNA (67 nucleotides) under human gut metagenome. It matches the Rfam family "tRNA". From Rfam's summary of the family: Transfer RNA (tRNA) molecules are approximately 80 nucleotides in length. Their secondary structure includes four short double-helical elements and three loops (D, anti-codon, and T loops). The record is from RNAcentral. RNAcentral also lists the same sequence under 1 other name.
GGGUGUGGCUCAAUGGUAGAGUAGCGGUCUCCAAAACCGUAGGUUGUGGGUUCGAGUCCUACCACCC